Long non-coding RNA from Gossypium arboreum, 567 nucleotides. RefSeq lists it as uncharacterized. The transcript is spliced from 2 exons. NCBI's taxonomy places the organism in Eukaryota, Viridiplantae, Streptophyta, Magnoliopsida, Malvales, Malvaceae. The record is from RefSeq and is a predicted model, not a curated record.
GCUCUGAGAAAAAAAGAAAAAAAAAAUCCUCUGAAUGAGGAUCUAGGACCAGCAUUAGAUCUCCGUCGAGCCUCCGUUCUCAGGCGGUCACGUGCCAACGCGCCACUGCGAACGCCGCCACGUAUGACGGCCGGAAACUAGAAAGUUUCCUUUCUCCGACGCGAAUAAAAAAAAGAUGUCUCGCGAGAAAUCCGGUGAUGGAAGGGUCGCUAGCGUUGAUGGAGGCCUGAAGUCUGGUGGUGGUAUCGGUGAGGCACUGAUUACGGAGGCAGAGCCUUGAGUGAUGGCCUCGAUUGGGGAGCUGGACAGACGCUCCCCAAACCUUCCAAAACUUGUUGCGGGGCGACGGGAAAGAGAGGCAGAAACCCUAGGGUUUCAUGCCUCGAUGUAAUGGUUUGGGCCAGUUGGGCCACUAUUGUUUGGGUCUAAUUUAGGUCUGCUGAGUAGUAACCGAGUAAAUGGGUUUUGGGCUAAUUGGGUUACAGGUGUAACGGGCUUUGGGCUUAUUAGGCUUUGAGGCCUGUUUAUUUGUAAAUGGACAUUUUAAAUAAACACUUAUUUAUUUAA